CCCCAGUAACGGCGAGUGAAGCGGGAACAGCUCAAAUUUGAAAUCUCCGACGCUUGCGUCGGCGAGUUGUAGUUGCGAGAAGCACUUUCUCGGCGGAUCGGACGCGCCUAAGUUGCUUGGAACAGUACGUCGCAGAGGGUGACAACCCCGUCCGUGGCGCUUCCGGCCGCUCACGAUGUGCUUUCGAAGAGUCGGGUUGUUUGGGAAUGCAGCCCAAAACGGGUGGUAAACUCCAUCUAAAGCUAAAUAUUGACGUGAGACCGAUAGCGAACAAGUACCGUGAGGGAAAGAUGAAAAGAACUUUGAAAAGAGAGUUAAAAAGUACGUGAAACCGUUGAAAGGGAAACGAAUGGACUCAGCAAUGCGCCGCUUGAGAUUCAGCCGGCCGGCGGGGUCGGCCCGGGGUUUGCGGAUCCGAACGGACCGCGGUCUCGGGCUCGUCCUCGCCGACCGUCGCACUUCUCUUGGGCGCGCGUCAACGUCGGUCGGUUCUGGGUCUGAAGGGUUCCGGGAAGGUGAGUCCGCGCUUCUCCUCCUCGGGGGAGUCGCGCGUUCCGUUUACAGCCCGGUUCUCGGAUCGGCUCGGAGUCGACCGAGGCGGUCGCAGCGCAUGCCUCUCGUGGCUAGGGUCCCGUUCUUCCGGCCGGUCGUCGACCGCGGUGGACUGCUUGCAGUGCUCCGCGACUGCUGCCGGUCGUUGGGGCGG
This 706-nucleotide ribosomal RNA is filed under the name Flabellum pavoninum. RNAcentral's name for it is "eukaryotic LSU rRNA". It matches the Rfam family "Eukaryotic large subunit ribosomal RNA", at positions 78 to 491 of the family's 3401-position model. Lineage: Eukaryota; Metazoa; Cnidaria; Anthozoa; Scleractinia; Flabellidae. The record is from RNAcentral.